Molecule: ribosomal RNA, 253 nt
Filed under: uncultured bacterium
Lineage: Bacteria
Description: partial 16S ribosomal RNA
Rfam family: Bacterial small subunit ribosomal RNA
Source: RNAcentral
UACAGAGGUCCCAAGCGUUGUUCGGAUUCACUGGGCGUAAAGGGUGCGUAGGUGGCGAGGUAAGUUUGGUGUGAAAUCUCUGAGCUCAACUCAGAAACUGCAUUAAAUACUACUUUGCUGGAGGGUCGGAAGGGAGACUGGAAUUCUCGGUGUAGCGGUGAAAUGCGUAGAUAUCGAGAGGAACACCAGUGGCGAAAGCGAGUCUCUGGACGACUCCUGACACUGAGGCACGAAAGCUAGGGGAGCAAACAGG